GAUGAACGCUGGCGGCGUGCCUAAUACAUGCAAGUCGAGCGAACAGGCGCUGAGCUUGCUCCUCUGACGUUAGCGGCGGACGGGUGAGUAAAACGUGGAUCCCCUACCUAUAAGACUGGGAUAGCUUCGGGAAACCGGAGCUAAUACCGGAUAAUAUCUUGAUCCGCAUGGUUCGAUAGUGAAAGCCGGUUUUGCUGUCACUUCGAGCUGGCUCCGCGCCGCAUUGGCUAGUUGGUACGGUAACGGCUUACCAAGGCGACGAUGCGUGGCCGACCGGUGAGGGGGAUGGGCCACAAUAGAACUGGACCGCGGUCCUGAGUCCUACGGGAGGCAGAAGUAGGGAAUGGUCGGCAAUGGGGGAAAGACUGACGAAGCAACGCCGCGCGAGUGAUGAAGGUCUGCGGAUCGUAAAACUCUGUUAUUAGGGAAGAACAAAUGUGGAAGUAACGAUGGACUUCUUGACGGUACCUGAUCAGAAAGCAACGGCUAACUACGUG
Molecule: ribosomal RNA, 497 nt
Filed under: uncultured bacterium
Lineage: Bacteria
Description: partial 16S ribosomal RNA
Rfam family: Bacterial small subunit ribosomal RNA
Source: RNAcentral